GGGUCAGUAGGUUGGUCGUGCCACCGGUACGUACUGGUCUCAUUGAUUCCUCCUUCCUGAAGAACCGUAAUGCCAUUAAUUUGGUGUUGCGGGGAAACAGGACUGUUACUUUGAAAAAAUUAGAGUGUUUAAAGCAAGCUAACGCUUGGAUACAUUAGCAUGGAAUAAUGAAAUAGGACGAUCGAUCCUAUUUUGUUGGUUUCUAGGAUUGACGUA
Molecule: ribosomal RNA, 216 nt
Filed under: Glomeromycotina sp.
Lineage: Eukaryota; Fungi; Glomeromycota
Description: partial small subunit ribosomal RNA
Rfam family: Eukaryotic small subunit ribosomal RNA (bases 40-216)
Source: RNAcentral